RNAcentral lists this transfer RNA (71 nucleotides) under Enteromius fasciolatus (African banded barb). RNAcentral's name for it is "tRNA-Pro". The record is from RNAcentral. Lineage: Eukaryota; Metazoa; Chordata; Actinopteri; Cypriniformes; Cyprinidae.
AUGCAUACCUUAGUGUUUAGUACUUGCUUUAUGGUUAAAAAAACUUAAUGGUGUUAAUACAUAUAUGCAUU